CCUGGUUGAUCCUGCCAGUAGUAUAUGCUUGUCUCAAGAUUAAGCCAUGCAUGUCUCAGUGCAAGCCACAUUAAGGUGAAACCGCGAAUGGCUCAUUACAUCAGUUAUGGUUCCUUAGAUCGUACCCACAUUACUUGGAUAACUGUGGUAAUUCUAGAGCUAAUACAUGCAAAUAGAGUUCCGACCAGAGAUGGAAGGAAUGCUUUUAUUAGAUCAAAACCAAUCGGUGGCGGGCUUGCCUUGCUCACCGUUUGACUUGGUGACUCUGAAUAACUUUGUGCUGAUCGCACGGUCUAGUACCGGCGACGCAUCUUUCAAAUGUCUGCCUUAUCAACUGUCGAUGGUAGUUUCUGCGACUACCAUGGUUGUUACGGGUAACGGGGAAUCAGGGUUCGAUUCCGGAGAGGGAGCCUGAGAAACGGCUACCACAUCCAAGGAAGGCAGCAGGCGCGCAAAUUACCCACUCCCGGCACGGGAGGUAGUGACGAAAAUAACGAUACGGGACUCAUCCGAGGCCCCGUAAUCGGAAUGAGUACACUUUAAAUCCUUUAACGAGGAUCUAUUAGAGGGCCAGUCUGGUGCCAGCAGCCGCGGUAAUUCCAGCUCUAAUAGCGUAUAUUAAAGUUGUUGCGGUUAAAAAGCUCGUAGUUGAAUCUGUGUCCCACACUGUCGGUUCACCGCUCGCGGUGUUCAACUGGCAUGUCUGUGGGACGUCCUACCGGUGGGCUUAGCCCGUCAAAAGGCGGCCCAACUCAAAAUCCUACCACGGUGCUCUUCACCGAGUGUCGAGGUGGGCCGGUACGUUUACUUUGAACAAAUUAGAGUGCUUAAAGCAGGCUCAUUCGCCUGAAUAUUUGUGUGCUGGAAUAAUGGAAUAGGACCUCGGUUCUAUUUUGUUGGUUUUCGGAAUUCCGAGGUAAUGAUUAAUAGGGACAACUGGGGGCAUUCGUAUUGCGGACGUUAGAGGUGAAAUUCUUGGAUCGUCGCAAGACGGACAGAAGCGAAAGCAUUUGCCAAAUGUGUUUUCAUCAAUCAAGAACGAAAGUUAGAGGUUCGAAGGCGAUCAGAUACCGCCCUA
Molecule: ribosomal RNA, 1078 nt
Filed under: Ctenocephalides felis (cat flea)
Lineage: Eukaryota; Metazoa; Arthropoda; Insecta; Siphonaptera; Pulicidae
Description: SSU rRNA
Rfam family: Eukaryotic small subunit ribosomal RNA
Source: RNAcentral